RNAcentral lists this transfer RNA (76 nucleotides) under Candidatus Moraniibacteriota bacterium. RNAcentral describes it as "tRNA-Thr". It matches the Rfam family "tRNA". From Rfam's summary of the family: Transfer RNA (tRNA) molecules are approximately 80 nucleotides in length. Lineage: Bacteria; Candidatus Moraniibacteriota. The record is from RNAcentral.
GCCAUCUUAGCUCAGUUGGUAGAGCGACGCACUCGUAACGCGUAGGUCGUCGGUUCAAUCCCGACAGAUGGCUCAA